AUGAUCAUUCAGAAAGAAUAUCUGGCUGAGGUUGGCUUGAGGAAAAAAGUUGAAGCUGAUUUAGAUAGACUGGUACAUAGAAUUCAAGAGAUGGAGGAAGACAAAAACAAACAAGAAACCUGGAGGGCUGUGGAAGAAAAGAAAUACACUUCAUGGGAAGAGGAGAAGAGAGCUAUGAUAGAUAUGAUCAAGAAGCAGCAAGUGAUGAUAGACAAGUGUAUGGAAAAAGUAGACCAGUGGGAUGAAAAAGAAAUCUCUGGAGAUGAUAUGGGAGAGAAAAAUGACUCUGAUAAAGACAAUAUUCAAGAUCCUCUGAUAGAAGACAAUUACACUGAACCAGUGGAUUACAAUGCUAGCCAGGAUUCUGUGAAAUCUCUGGGAUCAAAACUGGGUAUCUCUGCUAAAGAGGAGAAAGAAAAAGACAAAGAAGGACCAACCAGAAGAAGUGACAGAAAUCUAGACAAAAAGGACUCCAAGAUUGAAGAUUUGGCUAAGGAGAGAGCUGCUGACAAAGAUAACUAUGGUAAGUCCCCAACCCUUACUAAGGAUCAAAUCUCUUUGUUUGAAAUGGCAGAGAAAGUGGGGGUGGAGCCGGGGUGUACUAUUGACCUGGUCAGCCAAAACCUAGACCUGAUCUCCAAUAUGAAACAGGCUAGAAGAGAUAUAUAUCUACAAAACAUAAGAAAUCAAGAAGAAAAAGAAAAAAUGAAAGCUCUCCAAAUCUAA
RNAcentral lists this ribosomal RNA (726 nucleotides) under Triticum aestivum (bread wheat). RNAcentral's name for it is "partial small subunit ribosomal RNA". The record is from RNAcentral. Lineage: Eukaryota; Viridiplantae; Streptophyta; Magnoliopsida; Poales; Poaceae.